UAUACAGACGUAAGAGUGCGGUGCAAACCACUUAAAAUUUUCGGUACCAUGUUUUCUUCUUCUUGUUGGGCAGAUUUUUUCCGAGGGGGCUAGUUAUUACCAUUUUGCGGUUGUUUUAUACGCAUUGGUGUACCCCUUUCACAAGAUUUUGACAGUUUUUCGCCGCCUUCGCCGGCUUUCGCCCGUGCUUUCGUCGCACCAAAAAUAUUCUCGUUUUGUUUACUUUUCGAUGGUGCGCGGUCAAAUUGGACAUACCGGUUGUGAACAUUCCGGGAAAUUCCGUUCCUAGCCGGUGGUAUCACAAAGAAGCUAUUUCCGGGCUAUGGAAAAAGUGUACCCCGGCUGAAGGCGCUCUAAAAAACUAAUGAAAAAAGAUAACGAGUGCGACUGCAAAGCGAUCGAACCGAGCCGUGCUCUGCUGGCGGAGUGCAAUCAGUAACUGAUUGUGUCACAGGAGGACAUCCGGCAUGGAGAGCUCGUGGUCGACAAAGAGAACUGGAAGCACGAAGUGCUCAGAAGGACGGGGACUACGGUGGAUUCCGAGCUGACAAUCGAUGCUUCAACAGGUUAGCGUUGCACAGUCGAGUUUUUGGAAUCAAGGACAUCAAAGCAGCUAGGAGCUAACCUUCUACUAUAAUUUCGGAAGCAAAGGUAACAAAAAGAGGAUCUGCCACUGUAAUGUGAGCAAAUAAUCCGGCUUUAUCGGGAAUUAUUACCUUCCUCCGCUGGAAGAUUCUUCAGUCACAUGUCGGGGCAAAAAACCAAAGGAUCGAAGCGUAAAAAAUCGCAGAAAAUCGUCUGUGGCAGCGGAAAACUGCCAUUGAAAGGGCUUCGAAGGCUGACACUACAAGAUAGUAAAAUCAGAUGGCGAAAAUCGGUGGUGGUGGAACCAGUGAAAGGUGAUGGCGUGAUGGGAUCACCGUUUAAGCUCAAACCACCAGUAACAACGAAUGUGAUCUACGAGAGUGUGACUAUUGAGGUGAGCUUGGCUGCUACGGAGAAUACCCUAAAGGUGGACGAUUAUUCCGGGUUGAAAGAAAAACAUAAGCCCUGUUCAACGACGUAGGUUGAACUUGCUCGAAGUUGCUGCAUCCUACUCUUACCCAUUUGUCAACAAACGGGAAAGAGCGGGAUGGAGCAAGUUCGAGUAAAUUCAACCUACGUCGUCGAAUAGGACUAUAGUCGCCGAACAAGAGUGGUAGCAAGCGGACAUGAAAGUUGUCCAUCGUUUCGAGUGGGAUUCAUCUCGUAUGGGAUAG
This is a long non-coding RNA of Aedes albopictus (Asian tiger mosquito), 1259 nucleotides long. RefSeq lists it as uncharacterized. The record is from RefSeq and is a predicted model, not a curated record. The transcript has 3 exons. NCBI's taxonomy places the organism in Eukaryota, Metazoa, Arthropoda, Insecta, Diptera, Culicidae.